This is a non-coding RNA of Podarcis lilfordi (Lilford's wall lizard), 69 nucleotides long. The record is from the annotation of a GenBank genome assembly. NCBI's taxonomy places the organism in Eukaryota, Metazoa, Chordata, Lepidosauria, Squamata, Lacertidae.
GCCACAGCUCAGUGGUAGAGCAUCUGAUUGGAGUGCAGAAGGUUCUAGGUUCAACCCCUGGCAUCUCCA